This 332-nucleotide unclassified non-coding RNA is filed under the name Hevea brasiliensis (rubber tree). The record is from RNAcentral. Lineage: Eukaryota; Viridiplantae; Streptophyta; Magnoliopsida; Malpighiales; Euphorbiaceae.
GGGAAACUUGUUGUAGCACUCUUAACAUGGUAAGCUUUUCAAGGGCAGGAACAUAUUGCGAUAAUUGCACUUCUGGAACUGAUGAGGCUGAAGAGAGCUUGGACCCAAGCUUGGAUAUCUUAGCAAGCAAUGGUUGAACUCUUGAAGCAAGAUCCAAUGGAAGAAAUUCAUGUUCCAAAAUAUUGUACAGGUCCUUUACUUCUUGAGAGAUGCACGACAGUAUGCCUUUCGAUGCCAGUUCUGAGAGGAGCGAUGACCGUGAAAGCGCUUCUCUAUUAUCGCGUUUCAGAUCAAGAUUAAACCCGAGCAGGCUAGCCAUCCGCAAAUUUCGC